RNAcentral lists this ribosomal RNA (465 nucleotides) under uncultured bacterium. Its description in RNAcentral is "partial 16S ribosomal RNA". It matches the Rfam family "Bacterial small subunit ribosomal RNA", at positions 28 to 507 of the family's 1533-position model. The record is from RNAcentral.
GACGAACGCUGGCGGCACGCUUAACACAUGCGAGUCGAACGAGAGAAGAGAAGCUUGCUUUUCUGAUCUAGUGGCGGACGGGUGAGUAACACGUGAGCAAUCUGCCUUUCAGAGGGGGAUACCGAUUGGAAACGAUCGUUAAUACCGCAUAACAUAAUUGAACCGCAUGAUUUGAUUAUCAAAGAUUUAUCGCUGAAAGAUGAGCUCGCGUCUGAUUAGCUAGUUGGUAAGGUAACGGCUUACCAAGGCGACGAUCAGUAGCCGGACUGAGAGGUUGAUCGGCCACAUUGGGACUGAGACACGGCCCAGACUCCUACGGGAGGCAGCAGUGGGGAAUAUUGCACAAUGGAGGAAACUCUGAUGCAGCGAUGCCGCGUGAGGGAAGAAGGUUUUAGGAUUGUAAACCUCUGUCUUCAGGGACGAAAAAAGACGGUACCUGAGGAGGAAGCUCCGGCUAACUACGUG